UUUAUUGGCAGACUAGUGCACUAGAAUUAGAAUCUAAUCAUCC
This 43-nucleotide transfer RNA is filed under the name Nemesia seldeni. RNAcentral's name for it is "tRNA-Leu". Lineage: Eukaryota; Metazoa; Arthropoda; Arachnida; Araneae; Nemesiidae. The record is from RNAcentral.